Molecule: long non-coding RNA, 243 nt
Organism: Triticum dicoccoides
Lineage: Eukaryota; Viridiplantae; Streptophyta; Magnoliopsida; Poales; Poaceae
Exons: 3
Source: RefSeq, a predicted model, not a curated record
CUCGAGAAAGAAGGAAAAAAUUGGCAUGAUCUGUUCGAUCUACUACAGUGCCUUCGUCCGUCAGGUGCGGGACAAGGGGAUCGAACUCCUAACCUGGGCUCUGUUACGAGCAACAACUACCACCGAGCUAGCAUCAGGAAUGAAUUACCUCCAUUGAGGGCAUGUAUAUGAACGAGGGACAAGGCAAAUGGACGCCGGAACCGCAUAUACAUAUGAACAAGGCGGGAUUCAGGAAGGAAAAGA